CUCUAAGAUGCUGACCUUGCCAUCUUAGAGAGUGAUUUAAUGGAGGAGGUAGAUAUCCACCCAUAUUUAUUUAUGCAGAUAGACAUCACUGCACAAAUAAGAGUAAAGUUAUAGCUGUAGUAUAUUCUGAAAGUGGAAGUGUGUGGUGCCAUAAAAUCUAUAGCUGUGAGUUGAAUUAUGACUCCCAAAUAAAGACACAUUGAAGUCUUAACCCCCAAUAUCUCAGAAUGUGAUCUUAUUUAGAGAUAGCCUCUUUGGAGAGGUAAUCUCUCCAAAAUUAACAGAAUUAAGUUAACAUAAGAUUAUUAGGCUGGGCCCUAAUCUGGAAUGCAUGAUAUCCUUAUAAAAAGGGGGACAUUUGGACACAAACACAGACAAGCAGAGGGAAGAUAAGUGAAGAAACACAGGGAGAAGAAGUCCAUCUACAAGCUAAGGAGAGAGGCCUGGAGCAGAUCCUCCUGUCUUGGUCCUCAGAAGGAAUCAAUUCUGCAGACAUCUUGAUCUCAGACUUCCAGACUUCAGGAAUUACUCAAGGGAUCUCAGUUUCACAACUUCAAAAA
RNAcentral lists this long non-coding RNA (560 nucleotides) under Homo sapiens (human). RNAcentral's name for it is "HSALNT0050539". The record is from RNAcentral. Lineage: Eukaryota; Metazoa; Chordata; Mammalia; Primates; Hominidae.